This 3734-nucleotide long non-coding RNA is filed under the name Salmo salar (Atlantic salmon). RNAcentral describes it as "lncRNA (ENSSSAG00000103650.1)". Lineage: Eukaryota; Metazoa; Chordata; Actinopteri; Salmoniformes; Salmonidae. The record is from RNAcentral.
UACCUUCCAUACUCCACUAGUCCCUAUGUCACCCCUAUGUCUGUACUGGCUGUAUUUUUACCUUCCAUACUCCACUAGUCCCUAUGUCACCCCUAUGUAUGUACUGGCUGUAUUUUUACCUUCCAUACUCCACUAGUCCCUAUGUCACCCCUAUGUAUGUACUGGCUGUAUUUUUACCUUCCAUACUCCACUAGUCCCUAUGUCACCCCUAUGUAUGUACUGGCUGUAUUUUUACCUUCCAUACUCCACUAGUCCCUAUGUCACCCCUAUGUCUGUACUGGCUGUAUUUUUACCUUCCAUACUCCACUAAUCCCUAUGUCACCCCUAUGUAUGUACUGGCUGUAUUUUUACCUUCCAUACUCCACUAGUCCCUAUGUCACCCCUAUGUCUGUACUGGCUGUAUUUUUACCUUCCAUACUCCACUAAUCCCUAUGUCACCCCUAUGUCUGUACUGGCUGUAUUUUUACCUUCCACAACUUUUUUUUAAACUGAAGGACUUUAUAGAAUGCCAUGGAUCAUUGGCUGGUUUUUAUCUUGAUCCGUGAUUGGCUGGUUUUUAUCUGGAUCUGUAAUUGGAUGAUUAUUGACUACACAAAACACAUUUUAACUGGAAAACAAAUGUGUUUAUACAAGUGUCGAUGAAGGAGAGGAGACGGGUUAAAGAAGGAUUUUUAAGCCUUGAGACAAUUGAGACAUGGAUUGUGUAUGUGUGCCAUUCAGAGGGUGAAAGAGCAAGACAAAAUAUUUAAGUGCCUUUGAACUGGGGUGUGGUAGUAGGUGCCAAGCGCACCGAUUUGUGUCAAGAACUGCAAAGCUGCUGGGUUUUUCACACUCAACAGUUUCCCGUGUGUAUCAAGAAUGGUCCACCACCCAAAGGACAUCCAGCCAACUUGACACAACUGUGGGAAGCAUUGGAGUCAACAUGGACCAGCAUUCCCUGUGGAACGCUUUUGACACCUUGUAGAGUCCAUGACCCGACACAUUGAGGCUGUCCUUGAGGGCACAUUGAGGCUGGAGAUAUCCCACUAUGGAGAUAUCCCACUAUGGAGAUAUCCCACUAUGGAGAUAUCCCACUAUGUAAACGGUGAAGGAUGUAACCCUUGAACCAGGAAGUGAUACGUCUGUAGUGAGUGUGUGAUAGACUAACACAAUGCGCUGUAAACUGAUGAAAAUUAGAUUUUUUAUUUGAAUUUUUGAAUUUUUUGGUGUCAUUUCUUGUUAAGACAAUUACUGUGGUUGAAUGUAGGAAUAUUGUGUGGUGGGCUGUUCUGAUGUAGGCCUUGUGAAAUCUCUGUUUUUACAUUUGAUUGGCAUGUCAGGGGAUGGAGGGGAGAGAGGGGGCCUGGGUUAAGGGGGAGAGAGGGAGAGGGGGCCUGGGUUAAGGGGAAGAGAGGGAGAGAGGGAGAGGGGGCCUGGGUUGAGGGGAAAAGAGGAGAGAGGGAGAGGGGGCCUGGGUUGAGGGGAAAAGAGAGAGGGAGAGGGGGCCUGGGUUGAGGGGAAAAGAGGAGAGGGGCCCUGGGUUAAGGGAAGAGAGGGAGGGAGAGAGGGCCUGGGUUAAGGGGAAAAGAGGAGGGAGGGAGAGAGGGCCUGGGUUGAGAGGGGGGGGGGAAAGUGUACGGGAUGGAGAAAGGGGCCUUGAAAUCCUCUGGGCCAUCAAGACAUAGCUCUCAACCUAAAGCUUCUGACAUAUUGUAAUAGUGAGUUCUAUAACACAAACCUUUAAAUGAAAGUGGUCUUCAGUGGAACUCAGAUAUCCAUCCCCACUCCUCUUCCUGUACUGCUGACUGGCAGCCAUUUUAAUGACCUCCAUUUUCUGGUCGAGCGAGGACAACUCUCCCUACCCUUCGGACAGCUGUGGUUCCGUCUCUGUGAAUGUUUGUGUAAUAUUUGCUGUUAACAAAUGAAGGAUAUUUUUUAUAAAAAGGGAGAGACUGGUGUUGUGUUGUCUGUUUUUUUUUUUUUUUCUCAGUGUAUUGCAGAUGCUAACGUUUAAUAUAGUCGUAUAUAACGGGUUAAUGGUAAUAUCGCUAAGCCUGGGUUCCAUGGAAGGGAACAGUUCCCUGUUUCAUUCCACCAUUGUGAUUCUGCUGGUUUCUGCUGGUUUCUGCUGGUUUCUACUGGUUUCUACUGGUUUCUACUGGUCUCUACUGGUCUCUACUGGUCUCUGCUGGUUUCUGCUGGUUUCUGCUGGUUUCUGCUGGUUUCUACUGGUUUCUGCUGGUUUCUACUGGUCUCUACUGGUCUCUACUGGUCUCUGCUGGUUUCUACUGGUUUCUACUGGAUGUACACCUGUACAUUUAGCUGACACUGCAGUGUUGCACUAUUUCAUUAUCUACAAAGUAGAUUAUUAUACAUUUGAUAAUCAAAUUUAUUUCUGUAAUAAAAAAACACAACAAAAAAGAAACAUCUGAAUAUCUAUGUGUGGACAUUGUAAAGCGUUUGUGGACGGUAAAAGCGUUUGUGGACGGGUAAAGUUGUGAAGCUUGUUGGCUGUUGUAAUGUAUUUUCUGAGAUCAUUGUCUUCAAAGGUGUAUGUAAAAUAUAUAUAUAUUCUCACUGCAUUUCAUCUUCUUUCAGGAAAUGCCACUCACGGCUUCCUGAAUUCUCCAAAGCAGCAUAUUGUAUGCAGGUCAUAGGUACUCUACGUUUAGUUUGAUUGUAACACACCUGUCGUCCCCAGGACAGACACCUUCCUUUUCUGUCGCCCGUCUCAUCUUUACUGAAGUCAAUUAUGACUAAAUAGUUUGUUGUACAGUUUUUUUUAUAAUGCUUGUGUAAACUGUACUACCGACUACCGCCUUGCUAGUACGGUUUAUAAUGAAUCGCUGUCCUGCUCAGUUAUGUUUUUAAAUAUGAAGUGACAUUUUAUUAAGAAGGAAAAUGAAUUGAUGGGCAUAUUGACUUCAUGUAUGUAUGAAUUGAUAUGAUUUGAGUUGAUAUAUUAUUGUAAAGUAUUAAUCUGUUUUUUUUUUCUCUGUUGGGAGUUAUACAGUAUACUGCAUGAUUAUAUAAAGUAUUAAUAAUCUCUGUUUUUGGAGGCAUAUAUUUAAUAUAUCUUCACAGUCCUCAUGUUCUUCUACAGUGGGUGUGCGUCCCAAAUGGCACCCUAUUUCCCUAUAUAGUGAGCCCAUAGAGCGCUGGUUAGAAGUAGUUCACUAUACAAGGGGAUAGGAGGCCAUUUUGGAUGUUUCCAAGGCUUCACUCUGUACCUACUUUCUUACUGCACAAUACAAAAUAUCUGUGGUGACAAUGUCUUGCUGUUGAUCAAUGACCUAUUUGUUAUUUUAUCAUCACGAUGUAUGUUUCUGUCAACUUGAAUCUCAAUAAACUACGGGAAUAAACGGAAUAGGUGAAGCAUCUUUCUGCUUUCCAUUAUAGGGGACAUUACACCCAUAGUGGAGUGAGUUUGAGCAAAGUGUUAUACAUUUUAUAAAGACGAAUCGUUAUUAUAAAAACUGGUUGUUAUGUAUCCUAAAUGCUGAUUGGAUGAGCAGCGGUCCAAAGCUGUGCUUUAUUGGCCGUCACAGACACACCUAUUCCUGCUAACAGGUCCAUCUGAAAAAUCACUGUGCCUUCCUUAAAAGGUACUGCAUGGUCCAUUUUUUUAUAUUUUUUAUUUCACCUUCAUUUAACCAGGUAGGCAAGUUGAGAACAAGUUCUCAUUUACAACUGCGACCUGGCCAAGAUAAAGCAAAGCAGUUCGACAACAUAUAACAACACAGAGUUAUACAUGG